GACGAACGCUGGCGGCGUGCUUAAUACAUGCAAGUCAACGAUUUUUAAGAUAGCAAUAUUUUAAAAAUAGUGGCGCACGGUGAGUAACACGUAGAUAAUCUGCCUUUAGGUCUGACAUAACUCGUCGAAAGACGGGCUAAUAUCAGAUAAAACAAUAACUUGGCAUCAAAGUAAUUGUCAAAAGCUUCGGCGCCCAAAAGAUGAGUCUGCGGACCAUUAGGUAGUUGGUGGAUUAACAGCCCACCAAGCCAACGAUGGAUAGCUGGUCUGAGAGGAUGAUCAGCCACACUGGAACUGAGACACGGUCCAGACUCCUACGGGAGGCAGCAGUAAGGAAUAUUGCUCAAAUGGGGGAAAAUCCUGAAGCAGCAACGCCGCGUGAAGGAAGAAGGGUCUUCGACUUGU
This 405-nucleotide ribosomal RNA is filed under the name uncultured bacterium. RNAcentral's name for it is "bacterial SSU rRNA". It matches the Rfam family "Bacterial small subunit ribosomal RNA", at positions 28 to 426 of the family's 1533-position model. The record is from RNAcentral.